Molecule: microRNA precursor, 131 nt
Filed under: Camelina sativa (false flax)
Lineage: Eukaryota; Viridiplantae; Streptophyta; Magnoliopsida; Brassicales; Brassicaceae
Source: RNAcentral
GGUAGCCAAGGAUGACUUGCCUGUUUCUUUGAGUAAAAUGGUUAUGUCAUAUUUGACAAGUGACUAUAAGUUAUAACAAGUAAUGACCAUUUCGCUCAUCAAAAGAUAUCAGGCAGUCUCCUUGGCUAUCC